Molecule: non-coding RNA, 797 nt
Filed under: Pan troglodytes (chimpanzee)
Lineage: Eukaryota; Metazoa; Chordata; Mammalia; Primates; Hominidae
Source: RNAcentral
GAUUCUUCCCAAUUCUACCGCCACCAUUCUGGUUCAAGCUACCUGGUCCAGCUUUGACUUUACCUGGUUUUUUAUAGAAUGCUACAACUCCCUCUAGAAGCUUCUCUUGAUAAGACAGAGUCUUGCUCUGUCACCCAGGCUGGAGUACAGUGGUGUGAUCUCGGCUCACUGCAACCUUUGCCUCCUGGAUUCAAGCGAUUCUCCUGCCUCAGUCUCACAAGUAGCUGGGACUACAAAACUCCUUUCCUUAGGCUGGAUUUGCCAUCUCCCACAAUGCCCAUAACUUGAAUUAUCACUUAGGUCUUUGGACCUAAUUUCUAAGAAAGGUAAAACAUGCACAGAGCAAAUUUCGGUUGUAUCCUAGAAAUGAUAGCCAUAUUCAGGAUACUGGUUACACCUGACGAAACAUCUCCAUGAAAGUUAAGCAUACACAGGAUCUCACUUUGUUACCCAGGCUAGAUAGAGUGCAAUGGUGUGACCACAGCUCACUGAAGCCUCAACCUCCUGAGCUCACUUUUAAGCAAUCCUCUCACUUCGGCCUCCUGAGUAGCUGGGCCUACAGGCAUGUACCAACACUCCCAGCAAGUUUUUCUUAUUUUUUGUGAAGACAGAGUCUUGCAGUAUUGCCCAAGCUGGACUUGAACUCCUGGCCUCAAGCAAUCCUCCCAUCUAGGCCUCCCAAAGUGCUAGGAUUACAGGCAUGAGCCACUGUGCCAAGCAACACUUGCAGUUUUUAAGUGAAAAUGAUCCUGUAAAUAUACAUAUGAAUAAAAUCUAGAAAGCUAUAUAAAUCAAAA